This 235-nucleotide ribosomal RNA is filed under the name Fibrobacter sp. RNAcentral's name for it is "partial 23S ribosomal RNA". It matches the Rfam family "Bacterial large subunit ribosomal RNA", at positions 2695 to 2925 of the family's 2925-position model. The record is from RNAcentral. Lineage: Bacteria; Pseudomonadati; Fibrobacterota; Fibrobacteria; Fibrobacterales; Fibrobacteraceae.
GGCCGGACACACCACUGGUGUACCGGCUGUCGCGCCAGCGGCAGCGCCGGGUAGCUAUGUGUGGCAUGGAUAAACGCUGAAAGCAUCUAAGCGUGAAGCCACUCCCAAGAUUAGGUUUCGCGGGGCGCAAGCCCCCUGAAGGUCCGUCGAAGACUACGACGUUGAUAGGUCACAGGUGUAAGUGCAGUAAUGUAUUGAGCCGAGUGAUACUAAUAGACCGUGAGGCUUUAUCUUU